CUGCAGUCAAUUAAGCUGACUGUGUUCCUUUGUGAUGGGGCUGGGUAUGCAGGACUGAAGACAAUGUUCUACUUAAGAGUGUGGGCAGCCUGCUGUCUGUGCUUGGUGCCUGAGGGAUGGCGGAGAGGGCC
Molecule: small nucleolar RNA, 131 nt
Organism: Sorex araneus (European shrew)
Lineage: Eukaryota; Metazoa; Chordata; Mammalia; Eulipotyphla; Soricidae
Product: small nucleolar RNA SNORA70
Exons: 1
Source: RefSeq, a predicted model, not a curated record